Molecule: transfer RNA, 72 nt
Filed under: Klainedoxa gabonensis
Lineage: Eukaryota; Viridiplantae; Streptophyta; Magnoliopsida; Malpighiales; Irvingiaceae
Description: tRNA-Gln
Rfam family: tRNA
About the family: Transfer RNA (tRNA) molecules are approximately 80 nucleotides in length. Their secondary structure includes four short double-helical elements and three loops (D, anti-codon, and T loops). Further hydrogen bonds mediate the characteristic L-shaped molecular structure. tRNAs have two regions of fundamental functional importance: the anti-codon, which is responsible for specific mRNA codon recognition, and the 3' end, to which the tRNAs corresponding amino acid is attached (by aminoacyl-tRNA synthetases). tRNAs cope with the degeneracy of the genetic code in two manners: having more than one tRNA (with a specific anti-codon) for a particular amino acid; and 'wobble' base-pairing, i.e. permitting non-standard base-pairing at the 3rd anti-codon position.
Source: RNAcentral
UGGGGCGUAGCCAAGUGGUAAGGCAACGGGUUUUGGUCCCGCUAUUCGGAGGUUCGAACCCUUCCGUCCCAG